Molecule: long non-coding RNA, 741 nt
Filed under: Equus asinus (donkey)
Lineage: Eukaryota; Metazoa; Chordata; Mammalia; Perissodactyla; Equidae
Description: lncRNA (ENSEASG00005035373.1)
Source: RNAcentral
GAACCUUUGGUCCUUGCUUAAUGAGCCACCUGCAGAUGAAGUGUUCUACCCUCCUCUUGUUCCAGGGCUACGCUGAUGGACCAGGCCGCGUGCAGCCCAAAGCUGUGAUUCCUGUAAUAAAAGACAAAUCAAUAAGAGAAAAUGACCAGAGGGUUAUUAACACGACUAUCUCAUGUAUGCACAGGAGAUAUCCAGGAAAAACAUGGCUUGAUGAGCAGUGUGUAGGUCUACACCCAAGAUCUGAACCCACGAACCCUGGGCCACUGAAGCAGAGCACAUGAACUUAACCACUACACCACCAGGCCAGACCCUGGAGGAUAUGUCUUCAGGACAUAUCUGUUCGUCAAGAAAUAUCUCCUGUCAAGCAGCCUUUGAAAGAGAUUGCGGCUCAUGAUCUGAGAUCCCAGAAACACUCUCUGUCGUAAUGACUAAAAAAUUAAAAUGGACAUCAAAAGCCCUGAAAGCUAAACGAAAAGACAACUUUCACUGAGAAGAUGCGUUCUUGAGACCUAGACUUCUAACGAAGCACAGGAUAGCUAACAUAUCUGAAUCUCAGGAUUGUGCUUCAGAAACUCUCAUCUUCUAGGUCUGCCUCUAUUUGCUACUUUCUGACAAGUACUUGACCUCACGGCAUCUCCACUCCUGUCAAUCAAUCGAGAGCAACUAUGUUCAGUGCCGUCUAUGUCCUAGAGGUUCUCACCAUGAAGAAUUUGUAAAUAAAAAGUACUAUGAAAACGACAA